UACAUAAGGAGCAAGCGUUGUCCGGAUUUAUUGGGCGUAAAGAGCACGUAGGCGGUAAUUUAAGUCAGAUGUUAAAAGCUUCGACUCAAUCGGAGUCCGCAUUUGAAACUGAAUUGCUAGAGAAUAAGAAAGGGAAGCGGAACUCACAGUGUAGCGGUGAAAUGCGUAGAUAUUGUGAGGAACACCAGUUGCGAAGGCGACUUCCUAGCUUAUUUCUGACGCUGAGGUGCGAAAGCGUAGGGAGCGAACAGGAUUAGAUACCCCGGUA
Molecule: ribosomal RNA, 268 nt
Filed under: uncultured prokaryote
Description: partial 16S ribosomal RNA
Rfam family: Bacterial small subunit ribosomal RNA
Source: RNAcentral